RNAcentral lists this ribosomal RNA (254 nucleotides) under uncultured bacterium. RNAcentral's name for it is "partial 16S ribosomal RNA". It matches the Rfam family "Bacterial small subunit ribosomal RNA", at positions 524 to 776 of the family's 1533-position model. The record is from RNAcentral.
UACGUAGGGUGCGAGCGUUGUCCGGAAUUAUUGGGCGUAAAGAGCUCGUAGGCGGUGUGUCACGUCGGCCGUGAAAACCUGCAGCUUAACUGUGGGCGUGCGGUCGAUACGGGCAUCACUGGAGUUCGGCAGGGGAGACUGGAAUUCCUGGUGUAGCGGUGAAAUGCGCAGAUAUCAGGAGGAACACCGGUGGCGAAGGCGGGUCUCUGGGCCGAUACUGACGCUGAGGAGCGAAAGCGUGGGGAGCAAAUAGG